Molecule: long non-coding RNA, 652 nt
Organism: Aethalodelphis obliquidens (Pacific white-sided dolphin)
Lineage: Eukaryota; Metazoa; Chordata; Mammalia; Artiodactyla; Delphinidae
Exons: 3
Source: RefSeq, a predicted model, not a curated record
GCUCGCAGCCCCGCCCGCCCCGGCGGGUGAGCAGACAAGCCUCUCGGGCGGCAUGUGAAGAUAAAAUGAGAAGUUGGCAGUCUGCAAGCAGGAAGCAGUCCCCCACCAGACCUGACCCCGCUGGCACCCUGAUUUCGAACAUCCAGCCUCCAGAACUGACUCCAGUGGUCAGCGUGGCUGACGUGCUAUCAGGAUCCCCGUCUGCACAGGUGGUUCCCACAAUACUUGCUGGAGUGACAAGCUGUGACGAGAGCGUGUGAAUAUGGACAGAGACCUGUCUGAUAGACUAAGUUUACAGAUGAAGCAAAUUAGGAACAAAUGUUUUUAAAGCAUUUUCUAUUUAGCAUGAUUGUAUGGUUCUUUCAAAAGGUUAGUCUCCAAACCUAGGGUUUUAUGCCUUUUGGCCACGCCUUCAUCGUUCAUGUGUAUAAUAACUGAUUUCUGAACAUGGACUCCAUUGAAUAAAGGAAGAGGUUAAGUGAAAGAUGCUAUAGUCACAUGUAAACAACAAGAAAGGUAGCAUUUAAGGAAGUUAUUAUGUAUAUACUUGGGGAAGGUGAAAAAAAGCUCUUUUCCUUAGAGGAUAGACACUGUCUUUUAUACUGUAUAAGCAGACACUAUGUUUUAUUUAUCCUAGUAUACUCUUGCCUUA